CCGCGAUGCUCCCAGGUGAGCUCCCUUCGCGGCCACUUCUUGCAGGGAAAUCGGAUCCGCUGGGCCGCCGCCUCGGAAUCCCGAGCGUCUACGCGAUGGGACGCUUAGAUCCUGGAUAUUGGAGCUUAGAGAGUGAGUAGGAAGCCAGGAGGUUUCUACUUGCUCUGGGAAUCUUCUGUGACCACCUCAACUCGGUGGGGCGUCUCUCCUCUCUGGUGAAACUGCUCACUCAUCCCCUCAAAGCCCAGCUGCUGUCUCCAGAGCCACCUGGGAAUGGAAGUGAAAAAGCUGUUGAUGUUUCUGCUUUCUCCAACGGUUCUCAGAAGGGUGACGCCGAUGCUGCUGGCCCAGGAACCAUGCUCGGAGGAUCCCUGGCCUAAAUGAACUCGAGUCCCAGUUGGCAAAAAGGCCUUCCUGCAGCUCCUUGAACCUGCCGUGCUCUUUCCUUUCCGGGAGCCUUCACAUUUGCUGUCCCUUUGCCUGGAACAUCUUCCCUGCCUCUUCACCAGACCAACUGCUGCUCACCCUUCAGGUCUCUGCUUAAACAUCCUUUCCUCAGACAGGCUGUCCCCGAUGCUUUGAAUCAGUCAACACAUGUUUUUGUUCCAAGUAGGAGAAAAUCCCCUUCAAACUGGUUCAAGCAGUUUGAAUAAAAAGGGAGUUUAUUGCCUCAUGUAACUAAGACAUUGGAGAAUAAAAGCUCACACACAGACUUUGCUUCAUGUCUCAGCUCUGCUGCCUUGGGGCUGGCUUUGUCCUCAGACAGACUCCCACCCCACUGCCAGCCCUGGCCCCCAGGACUGUGUUUCCCUGUCCUUUGAGGUGCGCAUCUCUGACUGAUCAGGCCUGGGUCUCAAGCCACCCCCACCCCUAACAGGAUGACAGAAUCAGUAUGGAAGGCGAGUCGGGAAGGGUUGUUUCCCCAAAUGAGAAACGGAGCAUUGUUACCUGAAGAAGGGGGACGCAUUCCAGGCAGGUAAAAUAAACACCAAUGUAUUCCUUUUAUGCCUUUGCUGGCACCUGAAUGUGUCCUUUACACACCCAGGUGCCCUCUUGCCUCAGGAGCUUUGCUUUUAUUUUAAAAUCACCUAAAAUCCUUUUUCAAAAAGUAUUUUAUUUUGAAAUUUCAUACAGAAAAAUUUUUCAAAUAAUACAUACCCUUAACCCAAAUUCCCUAAACGUUAACAUUUUAACAUUCUUUGCCUUUACAUUUUUUUCUUUCUACACAUGUGUAUUUAUAUAUGUGUGCAUACACAUACAUAUUGUAUAUGCACCUAGAUAAUCUAUUUUUUUUCUGAACUGUUUGAGAGUAAGUUACAGGCAUAAUCCCCUUAGCAUUAAUACAUCAGUGUGCAUUUUGCCUGGAAUGUGUAUCCUCCAGAGACCCAUGCGGCUCACUGGGAUAUGUGGCACAGCCUCGCCACCUUCAAGUUCUUGCUCAAAGGAAACCUUGUCAAGGAGGCCUGUCAGAGCCCACCACUCCAUACACACGGCUUCCCUUCUCAGACUUCUUACCCCUCUUUACCUUUUCUUCUUUUAUAGCACCUUUCAUUUUCUAGGAUACUUUAGAAUUUAUGUGUUAAGUCUGUGUAUUUUAAGCUUCAUAAAGACCCGGCUCUCGUGUUCACUGAAAUAUCCCAAGCUCCCCAAACAGUAUUUAGCACAUAGCAGAUGGUCAAUAUAUGCUUAUUGAAUGAAGGAAGGAAGGAAUGGGGCAACCCAAGGUCUUGGCCACUGAGCCACAGGGUGCUUUUCAUCAGGCCCUGCCGAGGGCCGGACUGGUUUGGGAGCUUUUCUAUGAUGUCCUCUGCUGUUGCCCAGACUCUCCAUGGACCAUAUGUGACACUGAUUUAUGUGACCUUUGUGCUUGUUGGGAUGAACCAUGGUAACACUGUGAGAUCUAAGUGUUAUUGUUACCUUUGCCUUCCUUUUGUCUCUCCUUCCCCUGCCCCAAAGCCACCCUUUACCCUAAUGUGCUUCUCCCACAAGGCAACCAUUCCCCUCCUGUGUGGCAGAGGCAGGGCCGUGUGGUACAGGGGCAGGAGCCCUUGGAAAACUGCCCCCAGUUCUCUCCUCGGUGACUUCCAUGACCUCUGAGACUCUUGGUGGCUCAGCUAUCACCCGCCAGCCUCCUAAUAUCCUCACCUAGGGAAUCUGGGUUGAGAUUGUGGCCUUUUCUCGGACGAAAGAAUGUGCGGUUUGCUCUCACAGGAAAGAGAUGAUGAGAAAAGUACUUUCAGGUCUGGGGUAGCUGCUUCCUGCCUCUCAGUUUGCGAACUAAACAAAUCUGAAUGUAAAUCUAAAGCUGCCACACCCCAGUACUUCUAUGACCCUGGCAAUUUGCUUCAGUGUCUGAGUCUUAGUGUUUUCCACUGUAAAAUAGGUAUGGUAAUAUUUUCUUCAGAAGGUUUUUGGGAGGGAUAAAUUAAAAGAUACAUGCAAAGCACUUUGCAUACCACCUGACACAUAGAAAGUGUUCCAGAAAUAGUAACCAGUAUUGGCUUCUGGGCUCUGAAUGGACUCCUGCAGGCACACAUGGGCAGGGGUGGGAGGGGGUGCACUCCUGGAGUCCUGUUUGCACACCAGUUGUGGGCCUGGGUGCUGUGUGUGACUGCUGCCAGGA
This is a non-coding RNA of Manis javanica (Malayan pangolin), 2623 nucleotides long. The record is from RefSeq and is a predicted model, not a curated record. Lineage: Eukaryota; Metazoa; Chordata; Mammalia; Pholidota; Manidae.